CAGUAGCCACGGUAACACGUAGGGUGCAAGCGUUAAUCGGAAUUACUGGGCGUAAAGCGUGCGCAGGCGGUUAUAUAAGACAGAUGUGAAAUCCCCGGGCUCAACCUGGGAACUGCAUUUGUGACUGUAUAGCUAGAGUACGGCAGAGGGGGAUGGAAUUCCGCGUGUAGCAGUGAAAUGCGUAGAUAUGCGGAGGAACACCGAUGGCGAAGGCAAUCCCCUGGGCCUGUACUGACGCUCAUGCACGAAAGCGUGGGGAGCAAACAGGAUUAGAUACCCCUGUAGUCCCUGUCUCUUAUAC
This 301-nucleotide ribosomal RNA is filed under the name uncultured bacterium. RNAcentral describes it as "partial 16S ribosomal RNA". It matches the Rfam family "Bacterial small subunit ribosomal RNA", at positions 509 to 807 of the family's 1533-position model. The record is from RNAcentral.